Long non-coding RNA from Felis catus (domestic cat), 1960 nucleotides. RefSeq lists it as uncharacterized. The record is from RefSeq and is a predicted model, not a curated record. The transcript is spliced from 3 exons. NCBI's taxonomy places the organism in Eukaryota, Metazoa, Chordata, Mammalia, Carnivora, Felidae.
GAGCCGCUCCGGCCGGGCUGGGGCGGGUGGGGGGCAGGGUGGCUGCCAGCAGGGUCCACGUGCUGACGGCCCAGACUCGGUGGCUUGAAACCAUGGUUCAUCCGCUCUCAAAUCUGCCACGCGGGCAGGGCUGGGCACGAGCCGGAAGGCACGGGAUGGGGCAGGUUCCCCGGGACGCACUCAGGCUGGGCUGCCCGUGGGCCUCUCUGCCGGGCCUGGGCUUCCAAAGAAUAGGCAUCGGGGUUCCCGCGGCAGGUGUCCCCGAGACAGCCAGGUGGCAAUUGUAUCGGCCUGUGUGACCCAGCCUCAGAAAUCACAGAGCAUGUCGUGGUCAUGCCACUUGGCAGAUGCCCCCAAACGCAGGCGGGGACAGACUCCGCCUCUCAGCGGGGCAGUGGCCGGGUUCUGGAAGGCCUGGCUGGAUGGGAAAGUGGCGUUGUGGCCUUUUUUAGAACCACGGUCGGCACACGCGUGGACCCUGGGCUCUGCGGCAGAAAGGACCCCAGAUUCACUCAGCCCACAGCUCCCCAAGGGGACCAGCCCUGCUCGGGGCUCUGCCCUCCGGCCUCUGCAGACAGAUGGGACCGAGACACCCCGUGUUAGCUUUCCACGUGCUGUGGUUCCCGAGGCGACCAGACAUAGAGAAGGCCUGAGCUCGUGGACUUGAGGAGUGGGGGGCGGGGGCGGCCCCAUGGCUGCCUGGGAGCGGGUGUGGGGCGGCCCUGGCCUCAUUCCCCUUCAUCAGAGGCUGAGGCACUUUUCUGACAGUCAAACCCCUUUUCCUUCAACGUUGGGUUUCUGGGUCGUUACCAGACUCCCUCCCCCCCUCCUUCACCUCCUCCACGAUUGUCCUUUCGGGAGGUCCCAGCCGGGUGAUUCUGGAAACAGUGACGUGGACCAGCACCCGAGCCGUCACUCUGAGCUCACAGUCGCUGAAUGUGGCUGUGAGCUGGCCAGCCGGAGACCCAGAGGAUGUCCCUGAACCUGCCCCAGGGCUUUCCUGAAACAUCAGUCUUCCAGGUCCACGGUGCCCUGCGAGAUGGCUCCAGGGCCCAGGGCAGGAAGCAGGGCCUCAGACGUCACCCUUCACCUCUAGUCCGGCAGCAGGGCCUACGAAGCCUUGCCUGGCCUGGGCUUUCCGCCACAGACAGAGGGGACCCGGGGCGGGGCCGUGUCCAGCGCCCAGAGCUCGAAACCUGCUGCGGCCACUCCCCUCCCGUGCAGAAAGCAAAGUCUCCCAGCUCUGGUCAAAGCGACAAGAAGGCCAAGUGGUGUUUGCUACCGAACCUUCCUGAAGGGGGUUGAGAUCACCUUUAAUUUCAGAGCAAAGGAGGACAGGACGCGGCAAGGGGGCAGGACCGGCUGCUGCCUCACCCUGACACUAGCUUGCUGUGUGGCUUCGGGGCCGGUCUCCCCUCUCUGGGCCUGUUUCCCUUCUCUCCUUCUGAUCGGACUCCACACGCCCUCAAGGUCCCUUCUGGCACAGACACUAUCUCUCCAGCUGGGCUGCGGCCUCUGCCCCGGGCCGUCCGAGGCAGCCCCCUGACCGCCCGCCCGCCCACCCACCCUCUCGGACCCCAGGCUCCGCCGGCCUCUGGCUGCAGCAGGGACAUCCAUCACUGCUCCGUGAUAGAUUAUCUGUCCCUCCUCCUGCCGCCGCUCUGCUAUUUUGGUUGCAGAAUAAUGUUUAUCCCUUCACACAACACUGGCACCCUCCCCCUCCUCCCUCUGUCCUUCCCGCGCUCCUCCCCGCUCCCUCUGUGCGUGCGCUCCCAGCAGAAAUCAGGAGAUCUGCUCCGGCUACUUUCAUGAUUUUAAUUUUCCGUUCUCCUUCUCCUCUCUUCCCCCUUAUUACAUUUUGGGCUCUUUCUGGGCUGCUGGAAGGAGCAUACAUUUUCCCGGUGAAGUUUUUUUUUUUUAAUAAAAACCAUCAUUUAUGAUUAUUUUUCUUUCCCACUGA